Long non-coding RNA from Cydia amplana, 466 nucleotides. RefSeq lists it as uncharacterized. Lineage: Eukaryota; Metazoa; Arthropoda; Insecta; Lepidoptera; Tortricidae. The record is from RefSeq and is a predicted model, not a curated record. The transcript has 2 exons.
CAAAGAUGGAUGGAAUGAGUAAAUUAAUCAAAAAUAACAGAUUUCUUCGUAGGCACAGAAAUAAAUAUGGAAGUAUUUUUUGUGCUCCUUAAGUAUGAAUCGCAUAAAUAUGUAUAUACACCGUGUUUUUUUUUAUUUCCGUUAAUUUCAAGGGUGCAUUCCUGAGCUUAAUUUCAGUAACUUUCUCAAAGACACCGAUAUUCUAAUUAACUCGAUUUCGGAGAUAAUCAAUAAUUUAUUUUUUUCCUAUAAGGCCUCUACAAGCGUGUACACUUGCCUUAGGGCCGGUUUACAUAUUGAUUAGUGUUUAGAAUGAGUUCAUACAUUUGCUACUAAACUUAAGUACAAUCUCGGUCGAUCGAUGUUCGAAAUGACAUUGAUAUGUCACAGAUUUCAAUUGUUUGGUUGAGUUAAAUGUAAAGCCCGUGUUACAACAACGCUAUAUGCUACAUUUAAUUAGUUUUUA